GCAGUCGAACGAACCAUCCUGAUGAUUGAAGCUUGCUUCAUGAUUCAGACCUUGGUGAGUGGCGGACGGGUGAGUAACACGUGGGUAACCUGCCCAGAAGUGGGGGAUAACAUUUGGAAACAAGUGCUAAUACCGCAUAACAACUUAGAUCACAUGAUCUUUGUUUAAAAGAUGGUUUUGCUAUCUCUUCUGGAUGGACCCGCGGCGUAUUAGCUAGUUGGUGAGGUAAUAGCUCACCAAGGCGAUGAUACGUAGCCGACCUGAGAGGGUAAUCGGCCACAUUGGGACUGAGACACGGCCCAAACUCCUACGGGAGGCAGCAGUAGGGAAUCUUCCACAAUGGACGAAAGUCUGAUGGAGCAAUGCCGCGUGAGUGAAGAAGGUUUUCGGAUCGUAAAACUCUGUUGUUGAAGAAGAAUAUAUGUGAGAGUAACUGUUCACGUACUGACGGUAUUCAACCAGAAAGCCACGGCUAACUACGUGCCAGCAGCCGCGGUAAUACGUAGGUGGCAAGCGUUGUCCGGAUUUAUUGGGCGUAAAGAGAAUGUAGGCGGUUUAUUAAGUUUGAAGUGAAAGCCCUCGGCUCAACCGAGGAAGUGCUUCGAAAACUGGUAAACUU
RNAcentral lists this ribosomal RNA (619 nucleotides) under Companilactobacillus paralimentarius. Its description in RNAcentral is "bacterial SSU rRNA". It matches the Rfam family "Bacterial small subunit ribosomal RNA", at positions 57 to 643 of the family's 1533-position model. The record is from RNAcentral. Lineage: Bacteria; Bacillati; Bacillota; Bacilli; Lactobacillales; Lactobacillaceae.